Molecule: ribosomal RNA, 490 nt
Filed under: uncultured bacterium
Lineage: Bacteria
Description: bacterial SSU rRNA
Rfam family: Bacterial small subunit ribosomal RNA
Source: RNAcentral
GCAUGCCGCGUGUGUGAAGAAGNNCUUCGGGUUGUAAAGCACUUUUGUCCGGAAAGAAAACGNUCUGGUUAAUACCUGGGGCGGAUGACGGUACCGGAAGAAUAAGCACCGGCUAACUACGUGCCAGCAGCCGCGGUAAUACGUAGGGUGCGAGCGUUAAUCGGAAUUACUGGGCGUAAAGCGUGCGCAGGCGGUUUUGUAAGACAGGCGUGAAAUCCCCGAGCUCAACUUGGGAAUUGCGCUUGUGACUGCAAGGCUAGAGUAUGUCAGANGGGGGUAGAAUUCCACGUGUAGCAGUGAAAUGCGUAGAGAUGUGGAGGAAUACCGAUGGCGAAGGCAGCCCCCUGGGACGUCACUGACGCUCAUGCACGAAAGCGUGGGGAGCAAACAGGAUUAGAUACCCUGGUAGUCCACGCCCUAAACGAUGUCAACUAGUUGUUGGGGAUUCAUUUCUUCAGUAACGUAGCUAACGCGUGAAGUUGACCGCCUG